CAGCCGCCGCGGUAAUACCGGCGGCCCGAGUGGCGGUCACUAUUAUUGGGCUUAAAGCGUCCGUAGCCGGGUUGGGAAGUCCUCCGGGAAAUCUGGCCGCUUAACGGUCAGAAUGCCGGAGGAUACUCCCAGCCUAGGGAGCGGGAGAGGCCGAGGGGAUUCCCGGAGUAGGGGGGAAAUCCUAUAAUCCCGGGAGCACCACCUGUGGCGAAGGCGCUCGGCUGGAACGCGUCCGACGGUGAGGGACGAAGGCCAGGGGAGCAAACCGGAUUAGAUACCCGGGUAGUCCUGGCUGUAAACGAUGCGGACGUUGUGUCGGACAAGCUAUGAGCUUGUCCGGUGCCGGAGGGAAACCGUUAAGUCCGCCGCCUGGGGAGUACGGCCGCAAGGCUGAAACUUAAAGGAAUUGGCGGG
This 414-nucleotide ribosomal RNA is filed under the name uncultured microorganism. RNAcentral describes it as "bacterial SSU rRNA". It matches the Rfam family "Archaeal small subunit ribosomal RNA", at positions 459 to 872 of the family's 1478-position model. The record is from RNAcentral.